UGCAGUCGAACGAUGAACCUCACUUGUGGGGGGAUUAGUGGCGAACGGGUGAGUAACACGUGAGUAACCUGCCCUUGACUCUGGGAUAAGCCUGGGAAACCGGGUCUAAUACUGGAUACGACCUUCUGGCGCAUGCCAUGUUGGUGGAAAGCUUUUGUGGUUUUGGAUGGACUCGCGGCCUAUCAGCUUGUUGGUGGGGUAAUGGCCUACCAAGGCGACGACGGGUAGCCGGCCUGAGAGGGUGACCGGCCACACUGGGACUGAGACACGGCCCAGACUCCUACGGGAGGCAGCAGUGGGGAAUAUUGCACAAUGGGCGCAAGCCUGAUGCAGCGACGCCGCGUGAGGGAUGAAGGCCUUCGGGUUGUAAACCUCUUUCAGUAGGGAAGAAGCUGGCCUUUGGGUUGGUGACGGUACCUGCAGAAGAAGCGCCGGCUAACUACGUGCCAGCAGCCGCGGUAAUACGUAGGGCGCAAGCGUUAUCCGGAAUUAUUGGGCGUAAAGAGCUCGUAGGCGGUUUGUCGCGUCUGCCGUGAAAGUCCGGGGCUUAACUCCGGAUCUGCGGUGGGUACGGGCAGACUAGAGUGCAGUAGGGGAGACUGGAAUUCCUGGUGUAGCGGUGAAAUGCGCAGAUAUCAGGAGGAACACCGAUGGCGAAGGCAGGUCUCUGGGCUGUAACUGACGCUGAGGAGCGAAAGCAUGGGGAGCGAACAGGAUUAGAUACCCUGGUAGUCCAUGCCGUAAACGUUGGGCACUAGGUGUG
This 763-nucleotide ribosomal RNA is filed under the name Arthrobacter sp. 1-18. RNAcentral's name for it is "bacterial SSU rRNA". It matches the Rfam family "Bacterial small subunit ribosomal RNA", at positions 56 to 824 of the family's 1533-position model. The record is from RNAcentral. Lineage: Bacteria; Bacillati; Actinomycetota; Actinomycetes; Micrococcales; Micrococcaceae.